RNAcentral lists this transfer RNA (72 nucleotides) under Marmota monax (woodchuck). Its description in RNAcentral is "tRNA.Ala". The record is from RNAcentral. Lineage: Eukaryota; Metazoa; Chordata; Mammalia; Rodentia; Sciuridae.
AGGUUGUGGCUCAGUGGUAGGGUACUUGCCUAGCAUGUGUGAGUCACUGUGUUCAAUCCUCAGCACCACCUA